RNAcentral lists this ribosomal RNA (1404 nucleotides) under Salmonella enterica. RNAcentral's name for it is "bacterial SSU rRNA". It matches the Rfam family "Bacterial small subunit ribosomal RNA". Lineage: Bacteria; Pseudomonadati; Pseudomonadota; Gammaproteobacteria; Enterobacterales; Enterobacteriaceae. The record is from RNAcentral.
UGUCUGGGAAACUGCCUGAUGGAGGGGGAUAACUACUGGAAACGGUGGCUAAUACCGCAUAAUGUCGCAAGACCAAAGAGGGGGACCUUCGGGCCUCUUGCCAUCAGAUGUGCCCAGAUGGGAUUAGCUUGUUGGUGAGGUAACGGCUCACCAAGGCGACGAUCCCUAGCUGGUCUGAGAGGAUGACCAGCCACACUGGAACUGAGACACGGUCCAGACUCCUACGGGAGGCAGCAGUGGGGAAUAUUGCACAAUGGGCGCAAGCCUGAUGCAGCCAUGCCGCGUGUAUGAAGAAGGCCUUCGGGUUGUAAAGUACUUUCAGCGGGGAGGAAGGUGUUGUGGUUAAUAACCGCAGCAAUUGACGUUACCCGCAGAAGAAGCACCGGCUAACUCCGUGCCAGCAGCCGCGGUAAUACGGAGGGUGCAAGCGUUAAUCGGAAUUACUGGGCGUAAAGCGCACGCAGGCGGUCUGUCAAGUCGGAUGUGAAAUCCCCGGGCUCAACCUGGGAACUGCAUUCGAAACUGGCAGGCUUGAGUCUUGUAGAGGGGGGUAGAAUUCCAGGUGUAGCGGUGAAAUGCGUAGAGAUCUGGAGGAAUACCGGUGGCGAAGGCGGCCCCCUGGACAAAGACUGACGCUCAGGUGCGAAAGCGUGGGGAGCAAACAGGAUUAGAUACCCUGGUAGUCCACGCCGUAAACGAUGUCUACUUGGAGGUUGUGCCCUUGAGGCGUGGCUUCCGGAGCUAACGCGUUAAGUAGACCGCCUGGGGAGUACGGCCGCAAGGUUAAAACUCAAAUGAAUUGACGGGGGCCCGCACAAGCGGUGGAGCAUGUGGUUUAAUUCGAUGCAACGCGAAGAACCUUACCUGGUCUUGACAUCCACGGAAGUUUUCAGAGAUGAGAAUGUGCCUUCGGGAACCGUGAGACAGGUGCUGCAUGGCUGUCGUCAGCUCGUGUUGUGAAAUGUUGGGUUAAGUCCCGCAACGAGCGCAACCCUUAUCCUUUGUUGCCAGCGGUCCGGCCGGGAACUCAAAGGAGACUGCCAGUGAUAAACUGGAGGAAGGUGGGGAUGACGUCAAGUCAUCAUGGCCCUUACGACCAGGGCUACACACGUGCUACAAUGGCGCAUACAAAGAGAAGCGACCUCGCGAGAGCAAGCGGACCUCAUAAAGUGCGUCGUAGUCCGGAUUGGAGUCUGCAACUCGACUCCAUGAAGUCGGAAUCGCUAGUAAUCGUGGAUCAGAAUGCCACGGUGAAUACGUUCCCGGGCCUUGUACACACCGCCCGUCACACCAUGGGAGUGGGUUGCAAAAGAAGUAGGUAGCUUAACCUUCGGGAGGGCGCUUACCACUUUGUGAUUCAUGACUGGGGUGAAGUCGUAACAAGGUAACCGUAGGGGAACCUGC